This 236-nucleotide long non-coding RNA is filed under the name Elaeis guineensis (African oil palm). RNAcentral describes it as "long non-coding RNA (EGUI_LNC059255)". Lineage: Eukaryota; Viridiplantae; Streptophyta; Magnoliopsida; Arecales; Arecaceae. The record is from RNAcentral.
GUCCUUCCAUCUCAUGAACUUCAUCAAGUUCAAUUUUACAGGCAUUAACUCCUUCACCAAGAAACUCCUUUUCCAAAAAGACUGCCCGGAUGCUGACAAACACCUUUUGUUCUGCAGCAAAGAAGUAGUACUCUUUAGUUUUCUUUGGGUACCCUACAAACAAGCAUCUAUCGAACUUCGGUUCAAGCUUAUCUGUCUUUAAAUGCUUGACAUAAGCUGGACACUAUCAGACCCUA